Molecule: ribosomal RNA, 497 nt
Filed under: uncultured bacterium
Lineage: Bacteria
Description: partial 16S ribosomal RNA
Rfam family: Bacterial small subunit ribosomal RNA
Source: RNAcentral
GAUGAACGCUGGCGGCGUGCCUAAUACAUGCAAGUCGAGCGAACAGAUGAGGAGCUUGCUCCUCUGACGUUAGCGGCGGACGGGUGAGUAACACGUGGAUAACCUACCUAUAAGACUGGGAUAACUUCGGGAAACCGGAGCUAAUACCGGAUAAUAUAUUGAACCGCAUGGUUCAAUAGUGAAAGACGGUUUUGCUGUCACUUAUAGAUGGAUCCGCGCCGCAUUAGCUAGUUGGUAAGGUAACGGCUUACCAAGGCAACGAUGCGUAGCCGACCUGAGAGGGUGAUCGGCCACACUGGAACUGAGACACGGUCCAGACUCCUACGGGAGGCAGCAGUAGGGAAUCUUCCGCAAUGGGCGAAAGCCUGACGGGGCAACGCCGCGUGAGUGAUGGAGGUCUUCGGAUCGUAAAACUCUGUUAUUAGGGAAGAACAAAUGUGUAAGUAACUAUGCACGUCUUGACGGUACCUAAUCAGAAAGCCACGGCUAACUACGUG